This 467-nucleotide ribosomal RNA is filed under the name uncultured bacterium. RNAcentral describes it as "partial 16S ribosomal RNA". It matches the Rfam family "Bacterial small subunit ribosomal RNA", at positions 28 to 507 of the family's 1533-position model. The record is from RNAcentral.
GAUGAACGCUGGCGACGUGCUUAACACAUGCAAGUCGAACGGAAAGGCCCAAGCUUGCUUGGGUACUCGAGUGGCGAACGGGUGAGUAACACGUGGGUGAUCUGCCCUGCACUUCGGGAUAAGCCUGGGAAACUGGGUCUAAUACCGGAUAGGACCACUUCUUGGAUGUUGUGGUGGAAAGUUUUUUCGGUGUGGGAUGAGCUCGCGGCCUAUCAGCUUGUUGGUGGGGUAAUGGCCUACCAAGGCGUCGACGGGUAGCCGGCCUGAGAGGGUGUACGGCCACAUUGGGACUGAGAUACGGCCCAGACUCCUACGGGAGGCAGCAGUGGGGAAUAUUGCACAAUGGGCGCAAGCCUGAUGCAGCGACGCCGCGUGGGGGAUGACGGCCUUCGGGUUGUAAACUCCUUUCGCUAGGGACGAAGCGUUUUGUGACGGUACCUGGAGAAGAAGCACCGGCUAACUACGUG